AUGGCCGGCCUCCUCCUCAGGCUCCUCCCUCCCUCCAUCCUCUCCGGCGGCGCCACCUCCACCUCCACACCUCGCCGUCGGCCAGCACCGAUCCACCACACCACCACCAGAAUCACAAGCAGCAGCAUCAACGCAACACAGUCUUCCUCCUCCUCCACCACACCCGCGACAACCUCGGCGUCGUCUCCGGCGGCGGUGAAGCUCACCUACCUCCAGUUCAACGGCUGGCUGUGGGAGCUGCCCGGCGGCUUCCGCGUCCUCGUCGACCCCAUCCUCGUCGGCAACCUCGACUUCGGCAUCCCCUGGCUCUUCGACGCCGCCAAGAAGACCCUCCCCAACUCCCACCCACAGCCGGACGCCGGCCUCCUCGCCGACCUGCUGCUCAUCACCCAGAGCCUCGACGACCACUGCCACCUCCGCACCCUCACCCAGCUCGCCGCCAUCCGCCCCGGCCUCCCCGUCGUCGCCACGCCCAACGCGCGCCCCAUCCUCUCCGCCCUCCCCUUCACCCACGUCACCUACCUCGAGCCCGGCCAGUCCACCACCGCCGCCGCCGUCACCGUGCUCGCCACCGCCGGCCCCGUGCUCGGCCCGCCGUGGCAGCGCCCGGAGAACGGCUACAUCGUCACCGCCGGCAAAAACACCAGCGUCUACUACGAGCCGCACUGCGUGUACGACGCCGGGUUCCUGCGGGACAGGGCGCUGCGCGCCGACGUGCUCAUCACGCCCGUCGUCAAGCAGCUCCUCCCGGCCGACUUCACCCUCGUCUCCGGGCAGGAGGACGCCGUGGAGCUAGCCAGGCUGCUCCGCCCAAGCUACGUCGUGCCCAUGAGCAACGGCGAGUUCGACGCCAAGGGCCUCCUCGCCGCCCUCGUCUCCACCCGGGGCACCAUCCAGGCCUUCAGGGCCAUGCUCGCCGACGCGCUCCCCGACGCAAAGGUCGUCGAGCCCACCCCCGGCGUCCCGCUCCACCUCCGCUUCGACGACAACGACAACGACAACAACAACAAUUCAUCAACAUCAUCAUCAUCAUCUUCAUAG
This 1041-nucleotide ribosomal RNA is filed under the name Triticum aestivum (bread wheat). RNAcentral's name for it is "partial small subunit ribosomal RNA". Lineage: Eukaryota; Viridiplantae; Streptophyta; Magnoliopsida; Poales; Poaceae. The record is from RNAcentral.